AUUGAACGCUGGCGGCAGGCUUAACACAUGCAAGUCGAGCGAGCGGCGGACGGGUGAGUAAUGUCUGGGAAACUGCCUGAUGGAGGGGGAUAACUACUGGAAACGGUAGCUAAUACCGCAUACCAUCAGAUGUGCCAAGGUGGGAUUAGCUAGUAGGUGGGGUAAUGGCUCACCUAGGCGACGAUCCCUAGCUGGUCUGAGAGGAUGACCAACCACGUCUGAACGGAGAAACGGGCCAGAUUCGUACGGGAGGCAGCCGAGGGGAAUAUUGCACAAUGGGCGCAAGCCUAAUGCAGACAUGCCGCGUGUGUGAAGAAGGCAUGCGGGGUGUAAAGCACUUUCAGCGAGGAGGCGUUACUCGCAGAAGAAGCACCGGCUAACUCCGUGCCAGCAGCCGCGGUAAUUC
Molecule: ribosomal RNA, 406 nt
Filed under: uncultured bacterium
Lineage: Bacteria
Description: partial 16S ribosomal RNA
Rfam family: Bacterial small subunit ribosomal RNA
Source: RNAcentral